UCCAAAGAUUGUCCUGGGUGCUGUUGAAAGGCAGUUAAAGAACAAAGCUACGAUCAGGCAUAGUCAACAUGGGUUCAUCAAGGGAAGAAAAUCAUCACUUGGAACAAAGGAGUUUUGAAUUGGAGUAAUUAUUUGAGGCUGUGUAACAUUGCUGUCAUUUCAGUGAGAUCCUCCUACACUGCCCUUUCACCUCUUAUUUAGACAAUGGAAUUUGGAUGAGAAAGCUGAAGCACCCAAGAGAUUUACUUGAGCUUAUAGUCGAAAGAAGAAUAUAAAGCCUGUUUCCUGAAAUGAAGUCUGCACAUAAUGAAUAUAGUAAGAAUUUCUGGGUGAGCUUUUCCCCAGUAAUAUCAUUUCUGCUGACAAAAAAAAUUUACAGAUUCAUUAACUUACCAUUCGAAGUUUUUCCAUUUUAGCAUGAACAUUAAAAAAUGCAAAACAAAACAAUUCCUCAAACACUGUCUUUGUGUUGAUCUUUUUAUGUGCAUGUGUGUGUUAAAACAUUGUUAGUAAGUAGUUUUCAGAGACUUUGGUGACCUCAGAUAUUUUCAGUACUUCUCUGAUUCACAACACUUAUACACAUACUUUUAUAUUUUGCAGUUCAUCUCUAACUGUAGUAUUUGUACAUUAAACAAAAGCACAUAUGCUAAAUGUA
This is a long non-coding RNA of Anas platyrhynchos (mallard), 655 nucleotides long. RefSeq lists it as uncharacterized. The record is from RefSeq and is a predicted model, not a curated record. Lineage: Eukaryota; Metazoa; Chordata; Aves; Anseriformes; Anatidae.